UAGCGGCAGGCUUAACACAUGCAAGUCGAGGGGCAUCGAGAGAGUAGCAAUACUUUUGUCGGCGACCGGCGGACGGGUGCGUAACGCGUAUGCAACCUACCUUAUACGAGGGGAUAACCUUCGAAAGGGAGACUAAUACCGCAUAACAUUACUUUGAGGCAUCUUGAGGUAAUUAAAUCUUCGGAGGUAUAAGAUGGGCAUGCGUAGCAUUAGCUAGAUGGUGCGGUAACGGCGUACCAUGGCGACGAUGCUUAGGGGUUCUGAGAGGAAGGUCCCCCACACUGGUACUGAGAUACGGACCAGACUCCUACGGGAGGCAGCAGUGAGGAAUAUUGGUCAAUGGUCGGAAGACUGAACCAGCCAUGCCGCGUGCAGGAAGAAUGUCUUAUGGAUUGUAAACUGCUUUUGUAUGGGAAUGAUAAUAGCUUUGCGAAGUUAGAUGCAUGUACCAUACGAAUAAGGAUCGGCUAACUCCGUG
RNAcentral lists this ribosomal RNA (478 nucleotides) under uncultured bacterium. RNAcentral's name for it is "bacterial SSU rRNA". It matches the Rfam family "Bacterial small subunit ribosomal RNA", at positions 37 to 507 of the family's 1533-position model. The record is from RNAcentral.